GAUGAAGAACGCAGUGAAAUGCGAUAAGUAGUGUGAAUUGCAGAAUUCAGUGAAUCAUCGAAUCUUUGAACGCACAUUGCGCCCGCUGGUAUUCCGGCGGGCAUGCCUGUUCGAGCGUCAUUUCAACCCUCAAGCCCCCGGGUUUGGUGUUGGGGAUCGGCUCUGCCUUACGGCGGUGCCGCCCCCGAAAUACAUUGGCGGUCUCGCUGCAGCCUCCAUUGCGUAGUAGCUAACACCUCGCAACUGGAACGCGGCGCGGCCAUGCCGUAAAACCCCAACUUCUGAAUGUUGACCUCGGAUCAGGUAGGAAUACCCGCUGAACUUAAGCAUAUCAAUAAGCGGAGGA
Molecule: unclassified non-coding RNA, 346 nt
Filed under: soil metagenome
Description: partial contains 5.8S ribosomal RNA, internal transcribed spacer 2, and large subunit ribosomal RNA
Rfam family: 5.8S ribosomal RNA (bases 1-120)
Source: RNAcentral